CGAGAGAUACAGAGUUUGAUCMUGGCUCAGAACGAACGCUGGCGGCAGGCUUAACACAUGCAAGUCGAGCGCCCCGCAAGGGGAGCGGCAGACGGGUGAGUAACACGUGGGAAACUACCCUUUGGUACGGAACAACUCCGGGAAACUGGAGCUAAUACCGUAUGAGCCCUUCGGGGGAAAGAUUUAUCGCCAUAGGAUGUGCCCGCGUCGGAUUAGCUAGUUGGUGUGGUAAUGGCGCACCAAGGCGACGAUCCGUAGCUGGUCUGAGAGGAUGAUCAGCCACAUUGGGACUGAGACACGGCCCAAACUCCUACGGGAGGCAGCAGUGGGGAAUAUUGGACAAUGGGCGCAAGCCUGAUCCAGCCAUGCCGCGUGAGUGAUGAAGGCCUUAGGGUUGUAAAGCUCUUUCGSCGGGGACGAUAAUGACGGUACCCGSAGAAGAAGCCCCGGCUAACUUCGUGCCAGCAGCCGCGGUAAUA
This 479-nucleotide ribosomal RNA is filed under the name bacterium enrichment culture clone Cont7_3131. Its description in RNAcentral is "bacterial SSU rRNA". It matches the Rfam family "Bacterial small subunit ribosomal RNA", at positions 1 to 525 of the family's 1533-position model. The record is from RNAcentral.